Molecule: non-coding RNA, 346 nt
Organism: Ictidomys tridecemlineatus (thirteen-lined ground squirrel)
Lineage: Eukaryota; Metazoa; Chordata; Mammalia; Rodentia; Sciuridae
Source: RefSeq, a predicted model, not a curated record
CCUAUGGGUGGAGAAGUGUUUUAUAGACCAAGAGGAACUAAUAGGAAAAAAAUAACAGGAGUUGUUCUUAAGGAAUUCCAACUGGGGAGCCUCAUCUUCACCUGGAUGAUUUAUGUGAUGAGAUGAUGAACUUGAAGCUGAUGCUGUAAUUGAAGAGAUCAGGAGGCUUGAGCAUGGACAGGAGCAAGGAGGAGUAUACUUCUGAGCUCUGAAUCUGCAGGAGAACUUUUUCUUGAUUGAUUAAAGAAGCAACAAAAGAAUAUGAAUUAAAGCAAUCUGUCCAAAUGAGAAAACAGGUUGGUAAUGACUUUUUCCUUCUCCUUAAAAAAAUUUUCUGAUGAUUCUA